UGAAUUUUUGAAAAAGCCUUUGGCUCAAGGC
This 31-nucleotide non-coding RNA is filed under the name Mus musculus (house mouse). The record is from RNAcentral. Lineage: Eukaryota; Metazoa; Chordata; Mammalia; Rodentia; Muridae.